This 1011-nucleotide long non-coding RNA is filed under the name Urocitellus parryii (Arctic ground squirrel). Its description in RNAcentral is "lncRNA (ENSUPAG00010003292.1)". The record is from RNAcentral. Lineage: Eukaryota; Metazoa; Chordata; Mammalia; Rodentia; Sciuridae.
AUGCCAUCUUACCUGGACCUCAGCCAUGGUCACCCUCCUUGGACAAACAAUGAUUCUCACACGCAAGUGAGAAUCAUGAAACAAAUGUGUUUCCUGGCUACUCAGGGGGUUUCACUUCUGGAGAUCAAAGAAUUUAAAACCUGGAGAUGCCUCCAAUUUCAUCAUAAGAGCCCAAGGGUGAGGGGCAGGGCCGAGGGACRCUCACCAGUCAGCGCUGCAGCAAAGCCACCUAAAGUUGUGGACAUCACAACCUGCACUUUGGAAAGGACAUUGGCCAACAUGGCCUCGUUGUGGCUGGGUGACAACCCUGUGGGCAGGCUGAGCAGGCGGACCCGCUGCCACCCCACCUCCCCGGCUGAGAAUGCUCCUGAGGAAGCCAAGCUGAACCGGGUAACAGCCGCCAGCAGAGCUGCCUCGUUCUGGGGGUCCCUUUGCCACUGAGAGGGCAUCCGGGGGCAUUUCCGGGGGUCUCCGGCAGGUGGGAAGGCACUGCGGCCUGAGAGCCGCCUUGGCUUCUCUGUGGACUUCUUCCUCUGCGGCAAGCCCUGACCCUCGUGGGGAGGUGGGGCUGGGUGGAGGGCUCCGCCUGCCCAGCUGAGAGCAGGCAGGACCCCCUUGCCUCCUGAGACUGGCCUCCCCGGGGACAGCCGGCCCCAUGGGAGGGAGCCGUGCCUCGCGUCACACACUCCCAGGCCUCUGGGGCAGACCUCAGAGAGGACCUUACUGUGUCAAGGAAGCAGCCUCCAGUGUGGGGCGAGGCCAGCCUCUGCCCCGGUGGCCCUGGCACCUGCAGUGGAGGAGGCUGCUGGCCCGCAGCUGGUGGGAUGGGCCUGGAGUGGCUCCCGUGGGCACCCAAGGCUCUCCACAAACUCCCGAAACCGCCCCCAGCCACCAGACUCCACGCCACACAAGCCUCAGAGGGGGCUCACGGCCCCAGCUCUGCCCCAGGCGGCCCCGGAGGCCAGYGGGUCUGACGCCAGACGGCUGCCUGGACUUCUCGUCUGUGCUGAC